GAGCUGUGAUGAAUACUGCGCAACCUGUGAUGGUUGGGUCCAUCACCAUCGUCUGAUCUUCAGAUGAAAACACGCGCAUCUGAGCUC
Molecule: small nucleolar RNA, 87 nt
Organism: Corylus avellana
Lineage: Eukaryota; Viridiplantae; Streptophyta; Magnoliopsida; Fagales; Betulaceae
Product: small nucleolar RNA snoR114
Source: RefSeq, a predicted model, not a curated record